CGUAGUUUGGAUCUGUAACUAGAGUACAGGCCAAAACACGUGUCUCCUCGAGCCGGAUUCCAACACGUCUGACGAUUCCAGCCGGGUGAGUAAAACCAUAAGACCAUGGCAUACCAUCCCCCAUUGAGGAGCUGAUUUUAUUCACCCCGGGUUGGGAUCCAAGGACUGACGGGGAACCAAGGACAAGAGGAAGGAAAGCAGAUUUCAAUAACAGACCUAGUGGAACCAGGAGAGUGGGUUCUGACAAGAAGUUUUAAAAAGAAAACAUUGGCAUUCUCCAAGGUGGGAGGGACCGUACCAGUGUGCGUGGGAGCUGGGGUACGGCCCCAGCCAACCAAAGAGCCCAACCCAAACAGCAGGUUUGGCGCCCAGGGAACCAGGGACCACCGGCCCCACCUAGCCCACCGCGCCGCCCGGAAGAGCCAGUAGCAAGCCGCAGACAGACGUGCCCGGCAGAGGACAGGGCACGAGAGAAGCGGCGGACGGCCAGACCCCAAGCCAGCGAGAGACCAAACCCCACACGGCCAGAAAGGCGGGAUGACCCGCCCGGGGCACCCAGAGACUCCCCGCAACUGGAAGAGAAAACCGCCCCGCCCCACCAGCAACCAGGCCCCCACGAGCCCAUCCCCAUCCCCGGGGAGCACGGUGCGGCCCACCCAGCGCAAGUCCGCAGGAACCACACACCCCACCCGCAGGGCCCCAACAAUGGAGAUGGAACACCCAGCAACCGCCCUGUCGAGUUCCCCCCCCUGAAGGAGGGGAAAAAAACAAAAAAUACAUAUAAAAUUAAUAGUAAUAAUAAUAAAAUAUAUUUUAAAAAUUAAAUAAAUACAUAAAUAAAUCAUAACAUAUAUAUAUAUAUAUAUAUAUAUAUAUAUAUAUAUAUAUAUAUAUAUAUAUAUAGUAUAUGUAUGUGUGGAAAAAAUCACAAGACUACUUCAUCUCUACAGAACUGUUUCAUGAGGGUUUUCCUCAAUCAUCAGGAGAUUUCAAUGGAAGCAUUCACAUACAAUGGUUUAUAUAGGGCACAGAGAGGGUGGGUACAGGCAGGCGUAGGGGAGUGGUGAUUGGCUCAUGUGUUACCGAGGAGGUGUUUCCGUCUGUGACGGCAUGUUGAAAUGAUUUCACUGCGCUUGUUGAGUGAUGACAGCUCUGGGUGAUAUAUAAUAAACAGUUUCUCUUUUAAGCAUA
This is a long non-coding RNA of Nerophis ophidion (straightnose pipefish), 1191 nucleotides long. RefSeq lists it as uncharacterized. Lineage: Eukaryota; Metazoa; Chordata; Actinopteri; Syngnathiformes; Syngnathidae. The transcript is spliced from 4 exons. The record is from RefSeq and is a predicted model, not a curated record.